AGUGAACGCUGGCGGCAGGCCUAACACAUGCAAGUCGAACGGCAGCACAGUAAGAGCUUGCUCUUACGGGUGGCGAGUGGCGGACGGGUGAGGAAUACAUCGGAAUCUACUUUUUCGUGGGGGAUAACGUAGGGAAACUUACGCUAAUACCGCAUACGACCUACGGGUGAAAGCAGGGGAUCUUCGGACCUUGCGCGAUUGAAUGAGCCGAUGUCGGACUAGCUAGUUGGCGGGGUAAAGGCCCACCAAGGCGACGAUCCGUAGCUGGUCUGAGAGGAGGAUCAGCCACACUGGAACUGAGACACGGUCCAGACUCCUACGGGAGGCAGCAGUGGGGAAUAUUGGGCAAUGGGCGCAAGCCUGAUCCAGCCAUACCGCGUGGGUGAAGAAGGCCUUCGGGUUGUAAAGCCCUUUUGUUGGGAAAGAAAAGCAGCAGGUUAAUACCCCGCUGUUCUGACGGUACCCAAAGAAUAAGCACCGGCUAACUUCGUG
Molecule: ribosomal RNA, 492 nt
Filed under: uncultured bacterium
Lineage: Bacteria
Description: partial 16S ribosomal RNA
Rfam family: Bacterial small subunit ribosomal RNA
Source: RNAcentral